Molecule: non-coding RNA, 128 nt
Organism: Caenorhabditis elegans
Lineage: Eukaryota; Metazoa; Nematoda; Chromadorea; Rhabditida; Rhabditidae
Source: Ensembl
CUAUCACCCGCUCUCCAAGGGCGACGGGGAGUGUUGAGCGUUUUCAUUGCAUCCAUGGACCUUAUUAAAGUGUUAGAUUUCAGCCAUCAUGUUCCAACAAAACAAAUCUCUGUUGCGGAACUUUCAAA